AUUGAACGCUGGCGGCAUGCCUAACACAUGCAAGUCGAACGAGUGGCGGACGGGUGAGUAAUAUAUGGGAAACUGCCGGGUGAAGGGGGAUAACUAAUGGAAAGAUUAGCUAAUACCGCAUAUUAUUAGAUCGGCCGAGAUUGGAUUAGCUGGUUGGUGGGGUAACGGCUCACCAAGGCGACGAUCCGUAGCUGGUCUGAGAGGAUGACCAGCGCCACUGGAACUGAGACAAGGUCCAGACUUCGACGGGAGGCAGCAGUGGGGAAGAUUGCCCAAUGGGCGCAAGCCUGAUGCAGCCAUGCCGCGUGUAUGAAGAAGGCCUUCGGGUUGUAAAGUACUUUCAGCGGGGAGGCGUUACCCGCAGAAGAAGCACCGGCUAACUCCGUGCCAGCAGCCGCGGUAAUUC
Molecule: ribosomal RNA, 406 nt
Filed under: uncultured bacterium
Lineage: Bacteria
Description: partial 16S ribosomal RNA
Rfam family: Bacterial small subunit ribosomal RNA
Source: RNAcentral